UACGGAGGGGGCUAGCGUUGUUCGGAAUCACUGGGCUUAAAGGGCGCGUAGGCGGGCCGCCAAGUCCGCGGUGAAAUCCCCCGGCUCAACCGGGGAACUGCCGCGGAUACUGGAGGUCUCGAGGGGGGUAGGGGCAUGCGGAACUGCGGGUGGAGCGGUGAAAUGCGUUGAUAUCCGCAGGAACUCCGGUGGCGAAGGCGGCGUGCUGGACCCUUUCUGACGCUGAGGCGCGAAAGCCAGGGGAGCGAACGGG
RNAcentral lists this ribosomal RNA (253 nucleotides) under uncultured bacterium. RNAcentral's name for it is "partial 16S ribosomal RNA". It matches the Rfam family "Bacterial small subunit ribosomal RNA", at positions 524 to 776 of the family's 1533-position model. The record is from RNAcentral.